GGGUGAUUGGUCUAGCGGUAUGAUUCUCGUUUCGGGUACGAGAGGUCCCGGGUUCGAUUCCCGGAUCGCCCC
Non-coding RNA from Zophobas morio, 72 nucleotides. The record is from the annotation of a RefSeq genome assembly. Lineage: Eukaryota; Metazoa; Arthropoda; Insecta; Coleoptera; Tenebrionidae.